GAUGAACGCUAGCUACAGGCUUAACACAUGCAAGUCGAGGGGUAACGAGAGGAAAGCUUGCUUUCCUUGUCGACGACCGGCGCACGGGUGAGUAACGCGUAUCCAACCUGCCCCCAACUAGGGAAUAACCUUGCGAAAGUAAGACUAAUACCCUAUAAUUUCCUCAGAUGACAUCUGACGAGGAAUAAAGAUUUAUCGGUUGUGGUGGGGGAUGCGUCUGAUUAGCUUGUUGGCGGGGUAACGGCCCACCAAGGCAACGAUCAGUAGGGGUUCUGAGAGGAAGGUCCCCCACAUUGGAACUGAGACACGGUCCAAACUCCUACGGGAGGCAGCAGUGAGGAAUAUUGGUCAAUGGGCGAAAGCCUGAACCAGCCAAGUAGCGUGCAGGAUGACGGCCCUAUGGGUUGUAAACUGCUUUUAUACAAGAAUAAAGUUAGCCACGUGUGGUUAUUUGUAGGUACUGUAUGAAUAAGGACCGGCUAAUUCCGUGCCAGCCGCCGCGGUAA
RNAcentral lists this ribosomal RNA (506 nucleotides) under uncultured bacterium. RNAcentral describes it as "partial 16S ribosomal RNA". It matches the Rfam family "Bacterial small subunit ribosomal RNA", at positions 28 to 523 of the family's 1533-position model. The record is from RNAcentral.